UUUUCACGUCGUGUGUGUGUUAUUGCACACACAUGAUUGUGUUUGUGAAAUUUCCCUAGGUUGCUGAUUAAGUUGUUAAGUGUAGUGGGUUCAUACACCUCUUCUGGUUAGUUCCGUCUACCAGUAAGUGUGUGAUACUCCCCUCUUCUGUUCUGUCAGUCGAGGUGUGUGGAUACCAGGUUCCGUCUUGGUUGAAACCUAUAACUGCAACUCAUGGCUCGCAACCCUAUUACUGUGGCUA
This is a regulatory RNA element of 241 nucleotides. It matches the Rfam family "Alphacoronavirus 5'UTR", at positions 81 to 323 of the family's 323-position model. Rfam says of the family: The 5' UTR has been predicted to contain 3 conserved stem-loops: SL1, SL2 and SL4. The 3 terminal loops of SL5 contain a conserved sequence 5'-UUCCGU-3' and are thought to act as the packaging signal. The record is from Rfam.